CAUUGUACUAUAAAAUAAUUUCAUCUCUCAGAAGCUGUUUGUCACUGCAGAAGAGUAUUUGAUGAAUCAAGCUGCUAAAGGAGUGUUUUCUGCUUCCUCCUGAUCACUUCUGAAGCAGAACAGCAGCGGAGAGCAAUGAGGAGACGAGGAGAGAGAUCACAUGACAUCAGCCAAUCAAAACAGAGCGCAUUUAUCAUAAACCCAGCGUUUCUGACACUAAUAUUCAUCUUUUCAACAUCAGUCACUGUUUGAGCAAAAACACCUCGACAUUCAGAAAUCAAGAUACAUUUACUGAAGAAGAAGAAUCACUUCAGAUAGAAAGACCUGUUUUCUGAAGAAAGAAGUAAACAUUCUGCUAAUGGCAAGAAAAAUAAUCGUUUUCCCUUUGAAUUAUUAAUAUUAUUUUUCUCUCCUCAUUGGCAGCUUUUUUUAUCUUAUUUUGAGCAAAACCAAAGUUUUUUCCGAAAACAAGAUUUAAAAUCUGAAAUAAUUUGGCUUCUCAAGUAAAUUGAUCUUGAUUCAGGAAUGUUUAGAUAUUCUUUCUAGAAAUCAAGACAAAAAUCCUAAGAAAAUCAUUGAUUGCAGUGAAGUAAACUGAGCACUUCUGAAGUUCUGUGUUUGUUAUUCAGAACAAAUUCAAGCAGCAGUAAAUCUCAAGACUGUGUGUGUGUGCUUAUGUUUUACUGUACGCUACACAGCACUGCAUCAGAUUUAGACCGUAUUUCACUGUAUUCAUGACAUAAAAUCAAGAAAAGCUGGUUUACUUCACAUCGGAGCAUUAAAAGUGUCACCUGUUCAGUUCAUGGAUUUAUAUUCUGAAUGAAUCACGGUGAAACAUCAAUCAAGGUGUUUCAGAACGGCAGAAUUCACACAAAUCUCUGCAUUAAUUCAAGAAAUCAACAGAUAAAUGAGUAAAUGAGAAGGAGCAGGUUUGUUGUGGAUCUGAAGCCGUGUCUCUGACAUUGUUGAGCAGCGCUCGAGCAGUAAACUACUGAUGAACUUUUCCUGAAACACACAGAAGAAUCUUCUCCAGCAGCGUGUUCACGAGAGAGAAGCUCUUCAUUCCUCUCCUUCACAAUCAUAAAGAUCAUCAGUGGUGUCCUGCACAUCAUUGUUUUGAGCUGACUGUGAGAUCUGAUGCUCUAGAGCUGGAUUUGUGUUUAUUAUAGUCUUCAGAUCCUGAUCUGAUAUAUAGACCGGGUUUUAUUUCUGUGUUUGGACACUAAUGUUGUGAAUCAGAGCUUGUUCAGUAGUCAUUCACAGAAAUACUAUUUUAUGGCAUGAUGCAGAUCUCUUUAAAUGUAUAAUAAUGUAAAAUAGUGUCUAGUGUUGUCCAGUAAAGAGUCAGACACUUCAAGCACAAGUGAAAUGUCUGAAGGUCAGCUUUACUGAUCAAUGUGUGGAGCGUCUCUUUGCUGCAGCUGCUGCUGAUUUAAUGAACCAGUUUCUCAUGUGACGGGGUUGUUUUUACCCGCGCCGCUAACACACGCUUUACUCUAAUAUCUACUGGAUUAAAAACACCUGUCCUGACUCCUUUAAGAUUCUGUUAUUCAGGAGAAAAUCUCUCAUUCAGGAACAUUUAUUUUAAAGGAGUCAGAUUCAUUAUUAAAUAUAAUAGUUUAGUUGAUGAUGAAACACUCACACAGCUUUUCUGCAGUUGAUCACAGCUGGUAUCAGUCUUCUUCUCCCCUCAUCUGAUGUGUUGUAUUUCAUGGUGUUCAGUUCAUCCAGAGGCUCCUCUGACAUCUGAAUCAUGUAGGAGAUUGUUGAGCACUGAGCAGGAGAGAGUUUCUCUGAGUGUUUGUCUGAUUUCACAA
Carassius gibelio (silver crucian carp) is the source of this 1817-nucleotide long non-coding RNA. RefSeq lists it as uncharacterized. The record is from RefSeq and is a predicted model, not a curated record. The transcript has 3 exons. NCBI's taxonomy places the organism in Eukaryota, Metazoa, Chordata, Actinopteri, Cypriniformes, Cyprinidae.